Molecule: long non-coding RNA, 1576 nt
Organism: Vicia villosa (hairy vetch)
Lineage: Eukaryota; Viridiplantae; Streptophyta; Magnoliopsida; Fabales; Fabaceae
Exons: 3
Source: RefSeq, a predicted model, not a curated record
UGAAAGAGGAACUAGGUUAAGAAAAUAUGUACGUGAAAUUCUUCCUCCUCACAACACAUAGACGGCGACCUCCUUUGGUUUCCGGCGAAUAGAUCUCCCUCGUCAAUCCCUCUGAUUCUCAUGACAACUCGGUUCUCUCAUUCUCCUCACAACGAAAAAAUGGCAGUGGAUCUUUCCGAUCGAAGCCACACGGCGGAGACUCCCUCCAAUCCCUCUCUCUUGACUCCAUCUCAAGUCUAAUUCUAUCCGAUUCAUCUCUCUCAUUCCGGCGAUUUUUCGAGUAUGACGAUGGUGAGAAGAAAACCAGAGAGGAUAUUCUUCAUGAACCGCGUUGUUGCGUUGAUGAUGAUGUUGAUUGACGUUGAGACGCGAUGAAGAUUGAUGAUAUUGCGUUGAUGAAUAUCGUGUUGUUGUUGAUGAAUGGAAGUUGUUUGAAGAACGAUGAAGAUUCGAUCAAGCUUUCUGUUACAAGUUUUUUCUCUUUUUCUGUUAUCAAUUUUUUCUGCCGAUUGAAGGUUGAAGACGAAAGAUACUCAGGAGUUUCAAGAGAGAAUUGAAGUUGAACUGGUGUUGAUUCAAGAUAAUCGUUAUGGAGGUGAUUAACGAUGAUGAAGGUUCUGAGAUAUGUUCCCUUGAAGAGUGAAGGUUAUGGAGAUUCGGGAAGAAGAUUCAGAGAGAAUGAAGGAGAUUGAAUCGUAUCCAGAAGUUUGUUACGUUUUGGUUAUUCAUUUCUUUCAAUUUCUGUUACUUUUUUUUGUUAUCAACUUCUCCCUUUUCUUCUCAGUUCUGUUAUAGGUUUUGUUAAAGAUUGAAGGAGAGCAAGGUUGGUGGUGAAUGAAGAGUUUUUGUGAAGCUUUUUGUGAGUUUUCUGAAGAAUUCGUGAAGAGAAUUGAUGGUGAAUCGAAAAGUUUGUUACGGUUCUGUUCAAGGUAUUGUGUUUACAAUAUGUAGAACCGGUCUUGGCUUGGUUCAGGACAGCAUGUCGGCUUCCAUGAUCCUUUAAGAAGUGAGCUUCGUUCUAGAUUUUGGAUGAUGAAUUUGGACGGUUACGAGACGACACUUCUAGCCGGAGAAGAACUCUGUUAGCCAUCACGCUCUACCACCAAUGCGAGCCUACAUAGUCUUGGGAAAUUUUCUGAUGUAAUCUCUUUGUAAUGGAUUUGGAUUAUAUUUGUAAUGGAUUUUGUAUGUGUAACAUUUUGUCUUGGAUUUUGUAUGAAAUUGGUUUUUUAAAUGAGUUUUGAAUGACAAUAUGAAUAUUGGUUGGGAUUUGUAAGGGAACUUUGAAUCUAAAUCCCGCGGUUUUAACUCUCGACUUUAUGAACUUCCAACAAUAUUUCUUCCAAUUUUCUUUAAAAUCUCAAUGGCAUAAGAAGUGAGUAAAACUCGGAUGACGCUUCAAUUCAUAAUGAUCUUGAUGAAUGAUUAUAUUUUGAAUACGCUUUCAAACUAAACCUCCUCACCCAACCGGUAACAUAAGGCAUGAAUAUUGAAUAUUGACCUUGAGCUUUUAAAUGGUGAAGAUACGUUGAAACUAUGCCACUAAAUGAACAUGAGCCUUUGGAUCUUGAUGGAC